GAGAUAGAGGCGCGUUUGCCAAGAGUACGCCGGGCAGCGGGAGGACUCCCGCCGGCGAAAAGGGGUUGACGCCGAAGCCGCCGGGGAGGUCCUUCCCCGGUAGGCUGGGAUCGCGGGGAACACCUGCGGUACUGUCACGAAAGUGGAGCGCUAUC
This 155-nucleotide non-coding RNA is filed under the name human gut metagenome. Its description in RNAcentral is "Lysine riboswitch". It matches the Rfam family "Lysine riboswitch aptamer". From Rfam's summary of the family: Riboswitches are metabolite binding domains within certain messenger RNAs that serve as precision sensors for their corresponding targets. Allosteric rearrangement of mRNA structure is mediated by ligand binding, and this results in modulation of gene expression. This family includes riboswitches that sense lysine in a number of genes involved in lysine metabolism, including lysC. The record is from RNAcentral.